CAGAGGUCCCGAGCGUUGUUCGGAUUCACUGGGCGUAAAGGGCGCGCAGGUGGGUUGGCAAGUUUGAUGUGAAAGCCCGGGCUUAACCCGGGAAUGGCAUUGAAUACUGUCGACCUGGAGGUUUGGAGGGGGGACUGGAAUUCUUGGUGUAGCAGUGAUAUGCGUAGAUAUCAAGAGGAACACCAGUGGCGAAGGCGAGUCCCUGGACAACACCUGACACUGAGGCGCGAAAGCCAAGGGAGCAAACAGGAUUAGAUACCCUGGUAGUCUUGGCUGUAAACGGUGCGCAUUUGCUGUAAACGGAAUCGACCCCGUUUGUGGCGAAGCUAACGCGAUAAAUGCGCCGCCUGGGAAGUACGGUCGCAAGAUUA
This 371-nucleotide ribosomal RNA is filed under the name uncultured organism. Its description in RNAcentral is "bacterial SSU rRNA". It matches the Rfam family "Bacterial small subunit ribosomal RNA", at positions 526 to 896 of the family's 1533-position model. The record is from RNAcentral.